AGAAAAACUACAAAAGAACAACAGUGCUUCUGAGAGCAACAAUAUCCCCCGCUGGCAAAUGCUACUUUGGUACAAGUGUUUGCUACAUUCUGACAACAUUUCAAGGUAUCUGAUAGUUGAGAACUGACUCAUGAAACUGACUGAGUCUAGAUUUGUUC
Thalassophryne amazonica is the source of this 158-nucleotide long non-coding RNA. RefSeq lists it as uncharacterized. The transcript is spliced from 3 exons. The record is from RefSeq and is a predicted model, not a curated record. NCBI's taxonomy places the organism in Eukaryota, Metazoa, Chordata, Actinopteri, Batrachoidiformes, Batrachoididae.